CGAGGAUGCAAGCGUUAUCCGGAAUUAUUGGGUUUAAAGGGUGCGUAGGCGGACUGAUAAGUCAGUGGUGAAAGCCUGCAGCUUAACUGCAGAAUUGCCGUUGAUACUGUCAGUCUUGAGUACAGUUGAGGUAGGCGGAAUGUGUCAUGUAGCGGUGAAAUGCUUAGAUAUGACACAGAACACCGAUUGCGAAGGCAGCUUGCUAAGCUGUAACUGACGCUGAGGCACGAAAGCGUGGGGAGCAA
This 245-nucleotide ribosomal RNA is filed under the name uncultured bacterium. RNAcentral describes it as "partial 16S ribosomal RNA". It matches the Rfam family "Bacterial small subunit ribosomal RNA", at positions 527 to 771 of the family's 1533-position model. The record is from RNAcentral.